Molecule: long non-coding RNA, 242 nt
Filed under: Panax ginseng (ginseng)
Lineage: Eukaryota; Viridiplantae; Streptophyta; Magnoliopsida; Apiales; Araliaceae
Description: long non-coding RNA (PGIN_LNC013938)
Source: RNAcentral
UAAAAUAUAGCGACUCGCAUGCUAAAUAACAAGUUACAUAUUAAAGAAACUUGCUCAAUAAUAAAAUAUAAGAUUUAGAAUACUUGCAUCCUCAUGAACAAAUAGAUACAAGAGCUUUCUCAAUAAUAAACAAUCUAGCUCUACGAAUGAAACAACCCGGGUCAAAUUCCGAGUCCGGAAUAAAUCUCGGGUCAAAUCCCAAGUCCGAAUUGAAUCAAAUCCAUCAAAAUAAGGGCUCAAAC